Beta vulgaris subsp. vulgaris (sugar beet) is the source of this 1252-nucleotide RNA transcript. It is a transcript of the gene named ribosome-recycling factor, chloroplastic, with no coding region annotated. The record is from RefSeq and is a predicted model, not a curated record. The transcript is spliced from 11 exons. NCBI's taxonomy places the organism in Eukaryota, Viridiplantae, Streptophyta, Magnoliopsida, Caryophyllales, Amaranthaceae.
AUUCAAAACUCUCCACCUCACUCUUAUCCGAAGGUUACUCAUUCGUUCUCUUCCCUAAACUCGGGUGUCAGCAGUUCUGAACUCAGCUGUAAUGGCGACAUCGUCACUUUCUUCUGCAACUCCUUAUCUGCAAGCUAUUCCCCGAACCAAAGUUUCCGCCUCUCUCCAAGGUGUUAGUAAUGUGGAAUGCAAUCAUUUACAACACCAAGUUGGACGAACCAAUGUUUCAUUCUGGAGUUCUGGUGCUAGCUAUGUUAGGUUAAAUUGUCGUGUUCAGAAGUUUCCUGUGAAGUCUGUUGUUGUGAAUCUGUCUCGAAACAGAGAAGGAACUAUUAAAUGUGCAACUAUUGAAGAAAUUGAAGCUGAAAAGUCUACGAUAGAAAAGGACACUAAACAAAGGAUGGAGAAGACUCUUGAAACAGUACGCUCAAAUUUCAAUUCUGUAAGGACAAAUCGAGCUAGUCCAUCAAUGUUGGAUCGGGUAGAGGUCGAGUACUAUGGAACUCCAGUCAGCUUGAAAAGCAUUGCUCAAGUUAGUUCCCCAGAUGCUAGUUCUAUUUUAAUAUCGCCAUAUGACAAAUCAAGCUUGAAGGCUAUAGAGAAAGCAAUAGUAACCUCUCAACUUGGUCUAUCGCCAAAUAAUGACGGUGACGUUAUUCGGCUGUCCCUGCCUCCAUUAACAUCAGAGAGAAGGAAGGAGCUUUCGAAAGUUGUUGCUAAACUUGCAGAAGAAGGAAAGGUAGCAGUGAGGAACAUAAGAAGAGAUGCUUUGAAGGCUUACGAAAAACUGGAGAAGGAAAAAAAGCUUUCAGAAGAUAAUGUGAAAGACCUAUCCGCUGAUCUGCAGUUCUCUUCCCAGAACUUAGCAACUGGAUAUUCUUCCUAAUUGCAGAAGAUGACUGAUGAGUACAUGAAGAAGGUUGAGACUAUCUACAAGCAAAAGGACCAGGAGUUGAUGAAAGUCUAAGAGUUGUACAAAGACAUAAACUUGCAAACUCCGCAACUGUGAAUUCCAACUUCCCUUAAUGGUAAAGCAUGAUGCCAGAGCUUUCUUUUGCAUUUCUCUUGUAAAAAACAUUAGAUACCCCAAAAUAUUAGGUCUUGAUUUACCAAUUCUUGGUAGAAUUGGACAAAGCUUGAAGUUACCCUCUUUUUGUAUUAACCACGUUAACAGUAAAAAAUGCUCAUUUCAAUUUGGAAAUUAGAGUGGGUUUAUCUUCUUUUCCAAGGAAAAUGUUCUCUUUUUGUUCAA